GGCCCCAUGUCCAGAAGCUGAAGAGUUUGGGUCUCAUCAUCCAAAAGGCAUCUCCAGGGCAGCGAUUCAAUUUUGCUCCUUUCCCUCCUGUGCACCAAAAGCAUCUCCCAGGCGGUCCUGCAGCGCUCCCUUUGCCUCUUCUGAGAUGCCUCCUGAGAAAGCAAGAUGCAACGGUUGGUCUUUGGGAAGUGCAUCUAUGGCUUGGAGAAGAAUUGUGCUGCACCACCGCAUCUCCAACCCGCAUCCCAGAGAUAACGGGGAGCAUGGAGCUGGUGGUGGCCCCUUCAGGCGCCUGGAGUAAAUGCAGCAUCUCUAAAGGAUUGCUUUGGUUUCUGCUCAGAGCAGACAGAGCUGCACGAGGUUGGGACUUGUCGAGUUUCCUGGCUUUACAAGGUUCAGUUUGGGGUGCUGUGGUUUGAGGUGCAGGAGGGUGAGUGCCACAUGGGGAUGGUUUCUCUCCAAAUGCAAACAAUGCAAAGGGGGUAAAAAUAAAGAAAUUAAAAAUAAAAGUGAGACAAUAGUCCAGAGCAGUUGUUUCCAAACGCUGCUGC
Molecule: long non-coding RNA, 551 nt
Filed under: Pavo cristatus (Indian peafowl)
Lineage: Eukaryota; Metazoa; Chordata; Aves; Galliformes; Phasianidae
Description: lncRNA (ENSPSTG00000014497.1)
Source: RNAcentral